Long non-coding RNA from Homo sapiens (human), 752 nucleotides. NCBI's taxonomy places the organism in Eukaryota, Metazoa, Chordata, Mammalia, Primates, Hominidae. The record is from Ensembl.
GUCAUAUUGGAGAGUCUGCUAUAAUUUCUUGUGCAAAAGAUGGAGUGAAUUUUUCUGCAAAUGGAGAACUUGGACAUGGAAACAUUGCCACAAACAAGUAAUUACAAUAAAGAAGAGGAGGCUGUUGCCAUAAUGAUGAAUGGGCCAGUUCAGCUAACUUUUGCACUAAGUUACUUAAAUUUCUUUAUAACAGGCACUCCACUCUCUCUUCCCAGUAACACUCAGUAUGUCUGCAGAUGCACCCCUUGCUGUAGAGUAUAAGAUUGCCGGAUAUGGAACAUUUAAAGUAUUAUUUGGCUCCCAAAAUUGAGGAUGAAAAAGGAUUUUAGAAAUUCUUAGAAUCCAAGAAAAUAAAACUAAGCUCUUUGAAAAUUGCUUCUGAGAUUCCAGCGUGUACUGAAGUCAUUUCCAUCAAAAAAUUUAUGCCUCUGAAUACACAGGUAGAUGCGGUUUUCUGUAAAUAACAUAUUUUUUCAUCUAUCUUCUAGAAUCUAUUUAAAGUACAAAAUCCAAAGUCAAAUCUGGUCUCAUUAACCUAGAGAGAUAUCUGCUUUACUUACAAAUAUUCCUUCUGAUUUUUAUAACAAGAGGGUUAUAAAAGGGAUCUUGACUCUAAAUGCAAUUUUUAAGAAUUGUGUUUCUGAUUUAAAUAAAGUUUAAUCUGAAUUUUAAAUGUCAGAAAAGAAACUACUAUAGCACAUUGGCAGAGUAAUUUUGUCUUUUGAAUCUACUAAUAAAAAAUGCAGUUUGUA